RNAcentral lists this ribosomal RNA (477 nucleotides) under uncultured bacterium. RNAcentral describes it as "partial 16S ribosomal RNA". It matches the Rfam family "Bacterial small subunit ribosomal RNA", at positions 30 to 507 of the family's 1533-position model. The record is from RNAcentral.
AUUGAACGCUGGCGGCAUGCCUUACACAUGCAAGUCGAACGGUAACAGGUUAAGCUGACGAGUGGCGACCGGGUGAGUAAUACAUCGGAACGUGCCCAGUAGUGGGGGAUAGCCCGGCGAAAGCCGGAUUAAUACCGCAUACGACCUAAGGGUGAAAGGGGGGGAUCGCAAGACCUCUCGCUAUUGGAGCGGCCGAUGUCAGAUUAGCUAGUUGGUGGGGUAAAAGCUCACCAAGGCGACGAUCUGUAGCUGGUCUGAGAGGACGACCAGCCACACUGGGACUGAGACACGGCCCAGACUCCUACGGGGGGCAGCAGUGGGGAAUUUUGGACAAUGGGCGCAAGCCUGAUCCAGCCAUGCCGCGUGCGGGAAGAAGGCCUUCGGGUUGUAAACCGCUUUUGUCAGGGAAGAAAUCCUUUGGGUUAAUACCUCGGGGGGAUGACGGUACCUGAAGAAUAAGCACCGGCUAACUACGUG